Molecule: long non-coding RNA, 273 nt
Organism: Octopus bimaculoides (California two-spot octopus)
Lineage: Eukaryota; Metazoa; Mollusca; Cephalopoda; Octopoda; Octopodidae
Source: RefSeq, a predicted model, not a curated record
UUCAUCUUCCUCAUCUGUCAGAGUUCAACUUGAGGUCACCAACAAAACAGUACCAUGUCAUGGACUCAUCACAUAGAUCAAAUGGUAUGCAACAAUCAAUGGGAAUGGGAUCAGGACAUGGCGGACAAAAUUCUUCAGGCAUGAAAUAUCAGGAUCAACCUGGUGGGGACACAUUUUCGGAUUUUGUGUCCCUUGUCUGCCAGGAAGCUCAGAACUCACAAAAUCAGUCCAAUCCAUCCACGCCAACAGUGAAAAGUCCGACAAAACUGCCAC